UCAAUUUUAUAUUGAGUGAAACUACCUUCCGUUUUUGUAUCAUACACAAUUUACAAACUUUACUUCACACCAGUGUUGCUGUUCUUAAAAACCUGCCGAUUGCCCGCAUACAUAUCUGGAAAGCUCGUUAAGAUUUUUUUUGUGUGUAUAUAUAGCCAUGGUGCCAAGGUGAUCAAAUACAUCAAUUACUGUGUUUUUUGUAUUUGUUUUUGAGAUUGUCAUUGAUUAUUGUGUUUUAAUUGAAUUAUCAAACCACUCUUUAUCACGCUAAACACAAUCAUAAAUCACAUUUCUCAAAAAUUCCUAUUGAAACUCAAGCAGACAACAUGUGCUCAUGAAUGAAAGAAUUUGAAUUAGCUGCCGCAGUAAUUUCACCUUGUUAAAUUCGUCUUGCGUGGUGGCAUCACUCUAAUGCGUACACAAUAAUCAGCUGUUAUAACAGUGGUAUACCAGUUUUAAUUUCGUUUAUUAAUGUGGAAGAAAUGUGCUAAACUGAGAAAAAUAAUUGUUGUAUCGUUUGACAAUCUUUUACAAGAAAAGAUUAUACGAUUGCCCUGGAGUGAGGGCUUGAAGAGUGAAGGAAGCCUGUGAUGAUCAACGAAUUGAUUUGGAACGCUUACCUAAAAAAAAAGUUCCGUGUGUUGUCAUAUUGAAAAGUUCUGUCUGUAUGUUUUUCAUCUCGAGUGGUUGCCUACAAUCAUUGUUGUGAUAGACUAGUAGAAGCUGGCAUCCUUAGGAUCAACUGGUGGAAAGAAUUUUUAUUCGAAUGGUUCUUAAUUGUGAACUGGUGGAAAGAAUUUUUAUUCGAAUGAUUCUUAAUUGUGAGCUCUCACUGCUGUGCGUUAGUAAAGGACAAUAGAAGAUUAGUGAUAAGGGCAAAAUCAUAAUUAGACAUAAAUGGAGAACAGUCGGGGUUUUUCAUGGUGAUCUUAAUUUAAGUCCUCGUUGAAAUUCGAAAUGUAAAGGAAUUUAUAUAACCUACAUGUUUUAAAGUUCGAUCUACACCUUAUAAAAAACCUCUGUUAUCAAGCUAAUUUAUCGUUGUUGUAAGAGAGUAGCUUUUUAAAAUUAAAGGGAUGUCUAACAUUCCAUAUUAAAAUGGAGAAAAUAA
Ceratitis capitata (Mediterranean fruit fly) is the source of this 1111-nucleotide RNA transcript. RefSeq lists it as uncharacterized. The record is from RefSeq and is a predicted model, not a curated record. The transcript has 3 exons. Lineage: Eukaryota; Metazoa; Arthropoda; Insecta; Diptera; Tephritidae.